AGUUUGAUCAUGGCUCAGAUUGAACGCUGGCGGGAUGUGCUUUACACAUGCAAGUCGAACGGCAGCACGGACUUCGGUCUGGUGGCGAGUGGCGAACGGGUGAGUAAUGUAUCGGAACGUGCCUAGUAGCGGGGAUAACUACGCGAAAGGUAGCCAAUACCGCAUACGCCCUUCUGGGAAAGCGGGGACCCUUCGGCCUCGCACUAUUAGGAGCGGCCGAUAUCGGAUUAGCUAGCUGGUGGGGUAACGGCUCACUACAGUACGAUCCGUAGCUGGUUUGAGAGGACGACCAGCCACACUGGGACUGAGACACGGCCCAGACUCCUACGGAGGCAGCAGUGGGGAAUUUUUGACAAUGGGGAAACCCUGAUCCAGCCAUCAUCCUGCGUGUGAAGAUGAAGGCCUUCGGGUUGUAAAGCACUUUUGGCAGGAAAGAAACGGCACGGAUAAUACCCCGUGCAACUGACGGUACCCAGAAUAAGCACCGGCUAACUACGUGCCAGCAGCCGCGGUAAUACGUAGGGUGCAAGCUGCCAAUCGGAAUUACUGGGGCGGUAAAGCAGCAGGCGGUUCGGAAAGAAAGAUGUGAAACCUGUUUGUUUAACUUUGGAACUGCAUUUUGACCAUUGAGCCAGAGUGUGUCAGAGGGAGGUGGACUCCAUGUAGCAGUGAAAUGCGUAGAUAUGCGGAGGAACACCGAUGGCGAAGGCAGCCUCCUGGGAUAACACUGACGCUCUAUGCACGAAAGCGUGGGGAGCAAACAGGAUUAGAUACUUGGUAGUUCACGCCCUAAACGAUAUGUCGGACCAGCUGUUGGCUUAGCCUUGGUAGCGCAGCUAACGCGUGAAGUUGACCGCCUGGGGAGUACGGUUUAAGCUUUAGACUUGGUAGACACGACGGAUGUUAGUGAUGAUGUGGAUUAUCUGAUGCAACGCGAAAACCUUACCUACCUCCUGAUAUGUUCGACGAAGAGAUUUGUAGAGUGCUCGCAAGAGAACCGAACACAGGUGCCGCAUGGCUGUCGUCACUCGUGUCGUGAGAUGUUGCUGAGUCCCGCAACGAGCGCAACCUUGUCAUUAAGCUGUUACGAAAGGGCACUCUAAUGAGACUGCCGGUGACAAACCGAGGAAGGUGGGGAUGACGUCAAGUCCUCAUGGCUCCCAUGGGUAGGGCUUCAUUAUCGUCAUACAAUGGUCGGGACAGAGGGUCGCCAACCCGCGAGGGGGAGCCAAUCCCAGAAACCCGAUCAGUCCGGAUCAUAUCUGCAACCUCGACUGCGUGAAGUCGGAAUCGCUAGUAAUCGCGGAUCAGCAUGUCGCGGUGAAUACGUUCCCGGGUCUUGUACACACCGCCCGUCACACCAUGGGGAGGGGUUUACCAGAAGUAGUUAGGCCUAACCGUAAGGAGGGGCGACACACGGUAGGAUUCAUGACUGGGAGGAAGUCGCACAAGGUAA
Molecule: ribosomal RNA, 1456 nt
Filed under: uncultured Bordetella sp.
Lineage: Bacteria; Pseudomonadati; Pseudomonadota; Betaproteobacteria; Burkholderiales; Alcaligenaceae
Description: partial 16S-23S ribosomal RNA intergenic spacer
Rfam family: Bacterial small subunit ribosomal RNA
Source: RNAcentral